GCUAACGUAGCUUAAUUAAAGCAUAACACUGAAGAUGUUAGGAUGAACCUCAGACUGGUUUCGUAGGCA
Molecule: transfer RNA, 69 nt
Filed under: Atherina boyeri (big-scale sand smelt)
Lineage: Eukaryota; Metazoa; Chordata; Actinopteri; Atheriniformes; Atherinidae
Description: tRNA-Phe
Rfam family: tRNA
About the family: Transfer RNA (tRNA) molecules are approximately 80 nucleotides in length. Their secondary structure includes four short double-helical elements and three loops (D, anti-codon, and T loops). Further hydrogen bonds mediate the characteristic L-shaped molecular structure. tRNAs have two regions of fundamental functional importance: the anti-codon, which is responsible for specific mRNA codon recognition, and the 3' end, to which the tRNAs corresponding amino acid is attached (by aminoacyl-tRNA synthetases). tRNAs cope with the degeneracy of the genetic code in two manners: having more than one tRNA (with a specific anti-codon) for a particular amino acid; and 'wobble' base-pairing, i.e. permitting non-standard base-pairing at the 3rd anti-codon position.
Source: RNAcentral